This 852-nucleotide small RNA is filed under the name Pongo abelii (Sumatran orangutan). RNAcentral describes it as "processed transcript". The record is from RNAcentral. Lineage: Eukaryota; Metazoa; Chordata; Mammalia; Primates; Hominidae.
CGUGCAGGCCAUGAACCGCAUCUGCGUGCUGGACGUGGACCUGCAGGGUGUGCGGAACAUCAAGGCCACCGAUCUGCGGCCCAUCUACAUCUCUGUGCAGCCGCCUUCACUGCAUGUGCUGGUGUGUGCUGGGCAGGGUUGGGGGCUGGGGGCCAGGGCAUGCCAGGCUCUGAUUGCCACCCCCUUUUUAGGAGCAGCGGCUGCGGCGGCGCAACACUGAAACGGAGGAGAGCCUGGCGAAGCGGCUGGCUGCUGCCCAGGCCGACAUGGAGAGCAGCAAGGAGCCUGGCCUGUUUGAUGUGGUCAUCGUUAAUGACAGCCUGGACCAGGCCUACGCAGAGCUGAAGGAGGCGCUCUCUGAGGUGGGCCCAUCCUUGUGCUACCUGGGCAAGGCCCAAGGGGAGGCCUGGGGGCCAGGCCUUUGUUGUCCAUGAGGCCACUGAGGUCAGAUGGGACAGUCCUACCCAAGCACUGGCAUGAGACACCGAGGUCCAUGGUGGAGGGAGAGCAGGAAGCCCAGCCCUUCCUGGAUACCAGCCCUCCCAACUCCCUUUCUUCCUCACUGGCAGGAAAUCAAGAAAGCUCAAAGGACCGGCGCCUGAGGCUUGCUCUCUGUUCUCGGCACCCCGGGCCCAUACAGGACCAGGGCAGCAGCACUGAGCCGCCCCCUUGGCAGGCAAUAUGGCAGCUCUGUGCCCUUGGCCAGCAUGUGGAGUGGAGGGGAUGCUGCCCCUGUGGUUGGAACAUCCUGGGGUGACCCCCGACCCAGCCCCACCGGGCUGUCCCCUGUCCCUAUCUCUCACUCUGGACCCAGGGCUGACAUCUUAAUAAAAUAACUGUUGGAUUAGAAAG